CAAAUAAGUCAACAUGACCAAAAUUGUCUGUCAACUCCUUAAGGAGUUAUUGCCGUUUAUAGUCAAUUUUUAACAACUUUUCGUCAAUUUUUAACAACUUUUCGUCAUUUUUUGCAACUUGUACAAAAUUCUUCUCUGAAACUACUGGGCCAAAUUUAACCAAACUUGGCCACAAUUAUCAUUGUGGUAUAUAGUUUAAAAAAUGUGUCCGAUAACCCCGCCUACCAAACAAAAUGGCCGACAUAGCUAAAAUUAGAACAUAGUGGUAAAAUGCAGUUUUUGCUUUAUAUCUUUGAAACUAAGACAUUUAGGGCAAAUCUUUCAAGGUUUAAAUGUCCAUCAGAAUAAGAUCUAUCCCCUCUCAAAAUUUUAGAUGAAUCUGACAACCGUUGUUGGGUUGCUGCCCUAAAAUUGGUAAUUUUAAGGAAAUUUUGCAGUUUUUGGUUAUUAUCUUGAAUACUAUUAUAGGUAGAGAUAAACUGUAAACAGCAAUAAUGUUCAGCAAAGUAAGAUCUACAAAUAAGUCAACAUGAUCAAAAUUAUUAGAGGACCCCUUAAGGAGUUAUUGCCCUUUAUAGUCAAUAUUGAACAACUUUUCGUCAUUUUUGUUACUUGUACAAAAAUCUUCUUUUCUAUAACUAUGGGCCAAAUUUAACCAAACUUGGCCACAAUCAUUACUAGGGUAUCUAUUUAAAAAAAGUGUCUAAUGAUCCCGCCUACCACCCAAGAUGGCCGACAUCAGUAAAUACAGUAACAGGUGAGCGACAUAGGCUCCUGAGAGCCUCUAGUUAU
RNAcentral lists this long non-coding RNA (792 nucleotides) under Mytilus galloprovincialis (Mediterranean mussel). Lineage: Eukaryota; Metazoa; Mollusca; Bivalvia; Mytilida; Mytilidae. The record is from RNAcentral.